UUGAGCAGAAUCCUCAUCUCAUAUAGAAGAGAGGGACUGUUCUAAGGGAUUCUCUGAGCCUAGUGCAAUGAAACAGUCUUCAUCUAGAAAGCAGAUAUGAGAGGAAUUCAGUGACACGCCAGUUUUCCGCAGGAGACAGGGCUUCAGAAGCCCAGGCUUUAAGGCUUCUAACCUGCUUUGGUCUGGAAGGUGGUAAUUAGCUUUGACCACAUAGAUCUUCUGCGUGGCCCUCUAGUAAGUUCUCAGAAGAGCUGAUCUGAGUAUCCUUUGCUGAGAAGAGUGCUUGAACUGCCCUUGCAGGGUGAGAAGGAGCUCGCCAAGUGAAGGCAUAGGGCAGAGGAAACAGCUCGUGGGAGGCUGUGUUUAAAGACCUGUAAUGAUGCGUUUUUCCGAUCUGCUUCCUGACCUGGCUGAGAGCCCCCCGAGGGCACAGCGUGUGUCUGGUUCGCCCUGGCACUGAGUUGUAAUUCACAGAGAGACACCGAGGAGUCGGUGGUUGAGAGCCAGAGCUACCCAGACUCAGGUUUGAACCUCAGCUCUGCUGUUUUUGACCUGUGUGACCUCAGGAAACUUCCUGAACCUCUGUGCUCCCGAGUGUAUACUGGGUGACGGGGUUAACUAUACUCUCAUAGUUGAUGUGCGGGUUAAACGUGAAGCUCUGGGCGGAGUGCAUGCCCAGUGUGAGCAGGCCAGACUCGUGGCCUUACUGUCUGUUUUUGUUGGGGUUUCACAUAAGAGUUCAUUUUUUUAAAAGGGUUUGCCAUGUAAAAAAAACUUGAAACCACUGGCUUAAGAAAAAGAAAUCUGUAAAUGGGCACUUUGACUUGGUGUCAAAGUGCUCAACCAGAAUUUUAGUUCCUAGACCGAUCUAGGCUUUGGGGAUUUGAUCAUUUGGAAGGCGGCAUGAGCAGUGCUAGGGAACGCACUUGCCCCUUGCUUUCUUUUUAGGGAGGUGUGUUGGCUUACCACCAGGGCAGCUGCAUCUCAGAGACGCGCGGCAGCCGGAGCCCCUGGCACAGGGAGGGACAGGCGAAGUCUGGUGCUCGCCGGUGCCACUCGGCACUUUUACGUGGUCACCUUGUGUAAUCUUCAGCAACCACAGGAGAGAGUGUGGUGUGUUAGAUUCUGCGGGCUGGCUUGUUCAUCCUUCUAGGGCACUUUCCUGUGCUGUGGAAGCUGGAGGGUUAAAAUGGGCAUUUCCCAGAGUUGCUGGCAGCUCAGGUUCUGGGCAGGAAUUGGGUCCCCUUUAUGAGCGGUCUGAGGUGGGGAACCCCCUCCGUCCCCCCGUUUUGACUGUUUCCUGCUGUUUAGUGAUGUCAUGGAGAUGUGAGGCUUUCCUGCGGCAUCGUCCCUGGGUUCAUUCCCUGAAUGUUUAGAGGCAGCUGCGGUGGAGGCGGUCCAGUGUGGGGGGGCUGUCGCGGUGGCUCCCUGACCCUACUGCUUUCAUUCUCCGGGUCCUUAGUUCCAGUGGCAGCUCAGAUGUGUUAGCUCCCCUGGUGCGUCAGUUCUGUGUGGUUCUGGGAGCCAUUCCUGGGGGCCCAGUUUAGAGCCGACUCCUUCAGCCCUUAUAGCAGUUUUGAAGUCAUCUAAUUCCUUGAGUUAAAUUCCUUUCUGCUUAAAAUUCCUAAAGUGGUUUCUGUAUUCUGCACUGAAAACUGAUGGAUUCAGGUAAGUACUGUAAAUAAUUCUCUCUUAUAGGUGAGGAAACUGAGGCAAGGGGUGGUUAUGUAGCUUGCAAGGAAUACAAAGAUGAUACAGGGUUUGGGUCUCUCAACUUAGAUUUCUUUCCUGGAAAAAAGAAAUAAGUUCGCACUUCAAAGGGCUGUUGGGAUUAAAUGAGGAGGAAAUGUACAUGGAUGUGAAGCACCCAGCACGUGGCUGGUGUAUUAAUGUCUAGUUUAUCUGUUUAUUUUUUGCCUGACUCUAGUUUCUACUGCUUUGACCAUUUUAGAAUUAGCAUCAGUGAACUGAGGUGUAACAGUGUAACUCUGACUUUUCUAUAAAAUCUACUUGACAGCAUUCCUGUUGACUUUGACCUGCCGUUUAUCUGAGCUGCUGGGGUGUGUGUGUGUGUGUGUGUGUACGCACACGCACCUCUGUGACAUCUGGAAGGAGCACUGGCCGGUGUUCUCUUGACCUACCUGUUUGCUGGCAGGUGGUCUUGGGUUUAGUGUUCUUGUUUACAAAAUGAGCUGAGGGUAUCCACCUUACAGAGUUGUGAGGGUGAAAGGACAGAUCUGAGCAAGGUGUUGAGCUCCAAGUGCUGGGCAAGAAGACGUGAAGACGGGCAGACACAGCUGGAGGCUGCUGUGUGCACCUGUGCACUUGGAGGUUCCGUGAGGGUUAGGAGAGGGAGAGGCUUGGGCACAGCAGCAGGCCCCCUGGGGAGCCCAGCAGGAAGUACAGGGGCUGAGGCGCCAGCAGGCCUUUCAGAGUGUCUUCCGUGUGCACAAGAGUGAGACAGUGUCUCUUUGGCAGAGGGAUUGGCAUGUGCAGAGUCGUGGGAUUGGGGAAAAGUUCAGCAUUUCUGGGAAAGCGCCACAGCAGGAGGUGGCCAGGAUGGAAAGCAGAGGUCAGAAAGGUGAUGGAGAGGUGGGUGGGCGCUCAGACCGGGCGGGACUUUUAGGACCAUGUUUAGACCCAAGACUCAAAGUAUAUAAGAGCCAGACAGGGUAAGAUAAAGGUUUGCCCAGGAGCUGGUGAACUUCCUUGAUGGGAGAGGGUUAAACCUGGCUAGUUGGGGGAGCCCUGAGCUGCCUCUGAGCUGCUCCCCUUGGGGGAGGGCAUAGCUCCCCUGUUCUGAGCACACGUCUGGGCCAAGCACUUCACACAUGCUCUUGAGCGGGUCACAGCUCUUCAGGUAGGAACUGUUUCCCCUGGAGGUGGGCUCAGAGAGGCUAACUGCAUCCACUCCAAGUGGCAGAGCUGUGAUUUGAACUUCCGCUUGUCCAACUCCAAAGUCCAUGCUAUUUCUACAAAAGACACCACCCUGCCCUUUGUCACGUGUAUUCUGUGACCAGCAAGAGGGGGAGCUCUGGGCAGGAAGAGCAGGAGGAGAGGAGCUGAAAGCAGGUGCAGUGGAGAUUCUGCCAGUCAGCGUUCCCAGAGCUCACAGCUGCUCUGCAGAAGGGUGGGCAGGGAAGGAUGGGUGGAAGUCGAGCAGAGACUCCAACCCCAGGGAGGCGGGGCUGUGGGUCUUCAGUUUCCAGAGCUUGGGAGCUCCGCAGGGGCAAGAGGACGUUGUGAGCAAGCAGGUGGAGAAUGCCUUUUCCUCCCCAGGAGGUAGAGUUAUCCAAGCAUUCUGGAGUGUGGGAGUGGGGCUGGGGCAGCUCCGAGUCCUGAGGCUUGCUGGCUCCAGGGCAGGGUAGAGGUGGCAAGGGAAGGCUGCAGCAGAGUCAAGGACAGGUGCUGCCUAGGUCUUGAGCAUGAGAGAAGCACAAAAGAUUUUAGCAGCCAAGCCACCUAGUUAGGGUAGUUCCUGUUAAUACUAAUGGAAGAUCUGGGAGGUGUCUCCAUUAUUCAGAGAAUGGCCUUUCUGUUUUAUUUCACUGUUUUCGUAGGCACGUAAUUACCCUGGGUCUUUUGACCCUGCUUUGAAACCCCAACCCCAAGGUUUUCAGGUCCUCCGUUGUGAAUUCUUAUACCAGAUGGAUUUUCAGCAGCUCAACCCCCUUGAUUACAGAGUGACUGCACUUCCUUUCCAACCACUGAUUUAUGCAGCUAAGCUCUCACCAACCAUUGUUUUGGCACCUGAGAGGUCGUCGGUGACUUGACUAGACAUGUUUCUCUUACUCCAGGUGAGCUUCAUUUUGAGGUUGUCCUUCACGUUUGGAGAGGAUGCAGCAGAGAGUGUCCCUCUGCAGACAUGGCUGAUGGAGCCUCAGGGGGCCAGCUGCCUGUGUGCUGGACUCAUGGGGGAGAUUGGCUUCUGUCGCUGAGUAAUACGUAUUUGCGGUCCCUCUGUGACUCUCGACGCCUUGCUGGCUCAUCUCAUUUUAGUGCUGAGUGACGUUCCCUGUCCGGAUGGACCACAGUUUAUUUAUCCAUCGCCUACUGAAGGACAUCUUGGUUGCUUCCAAGCUUAGCAAUUAUGAAUGAAGCUGCUGUAAACAUGUAUGUGCAGUUUUUUUGUGUGGAUAUGAGUUUUCAGCUCCUUUGGGUAAAUACCAGGGAGCCUGAUUGCUGAGCUGAGUGGUAAAUGUAUGUUUUGUUUGUAAGAAACGUCCAUACUGCCUUCCAGAGUGUCCAUACCAUUCUGCAUUCCCACCAGCAGCGAGUGAGAGUUCUCCUGCUCCACGUCCUCACCAGCAUUUGGUGUUGUCCAUGGAGAGUCUCUUUCUGUUGCUUCAUUUUCUUGGUGAAUUAGGAAGCAAGGUCCUCAGCUGCUGGUGACAGUGGGGAUGGAGCGCUGGGGUUUGAGGCACAAGAAAGAGAUGAAAGGUGUGGAUGCCGUGGAGGCGGUGGGAGGGGAAAGGGCUGGGGAGCAGCAGGCAGUGCCUCUGCCUCUGCCUCUUCUGCAGUGUGUUCCCUGCGGAGUUGUAGUUUUGCUGAGUGAGUCCAGUGAAAUGAGAGGCAGGCAGGGGGGUUGAGAGUACGUGUAAGAGUGUGACCUGGCCUUCAAGCUGAGUGAGGGGUAGGGGAUAUCCGGAGGGUGUGGGACAGUGAAACAGGAGGAUCAGCAGAGACCCCGGUUGAUUGGGAAACCAGAGGAGCCAGUUGGAAAGACAGAAGGCUUGCAUUUGGUGGAGGUGUCCUCAUUGUGCAGACAGGUAGGCUUAUGGUCCCAUGGCUAGUUGUCAGUGGGGCUUGGAGGGGGUCGGCCCCCCUCCACCCCAAGCCCAGCCUGUCUGAUGGUAAAGCUCUACUCUGGGCAGUCGCGUCGUGCACCCUGACUCGUUCCUGCAGAUGCUUAACCACUGUCUGGGGGCUGGUGCAGCCUCCACGUGGGAGCAGCCUUGGGGGCCUUCUUUGUGCCCCAGGAGCCCUUGUUCACACAGAGGGGUGGCUCCCAGAGCUCGUGUGUGUCAUUGUAGCUGCCCAGUGCUGGGGGUUCGGCUACCCUUCUUCUGGUGGGCCCCAUCUCCUGCUUGUUCGAGGUCUGAGAGUGCCCCCACUGCAGCUGCAGUUCCCAGAAUGUCUGUCGGGGCUGGAGCCCACCUGAGGGCAGCGUGGGGUCUGCACAAGUAAAGGCCCAGGUGUGCAGUGACUUACCAGUGGCUCUCAUUUCCUGGGCGGGUAUGUGCUCAGCGGGAGCCGUGUGUGGGAAGGGGCUGCAGAAACCUAACCGAAGGCCCCCAGGCAUCAGAUGGUGACGUCUUCCUCAGCAGCAGGAAAUUGCCCUGGCUCUGCCACUCACUCCCUGCACCUUACAGGUGCUGUGUUCCCAUAUGUCAAACAGAGAGUUGGGCCAGGUGGUCGUAAUGCGAUCUGGAAUCAUUGUCUCAUCUGCUUGCAGCGCCUGCUUUCCUCCCACAGGCCUGGUGACCCCUCCUGGAGGAGGUUCCGUUUCUGCCCCUCCCUACUGCGUGCGAUUUAAAGGAGAAGAAUCUCAGGAGUGGGGGCUCCCUUUGCUGUCGUUCCACGGCUCCUAGCUCUUGUGGUUGCCAUGGCAGCUGCCACUGUGCAGUGUCAUCCCAUGGGCGCCCCCAGCCUGGGUGCCCCUUGAGGGACUGUGUCUCAUUGCAUGCUGGCACCUAGUUAGAACUCAGUAGGUGCUUGUCAAAUAGUUGAAUUCAGAUGCCACUCAUUUCCUCAGUGAAUACCUACCUGGGACCCUCUGCUCCCUUUCUUCCAAAUAAACUACCGUGUGGCGCUUAUAGUCCACUGCUGCCACACGACUCCAGGAGAUGGUCCAUGUCAGGCUCUAAGUGCUGGGGAGAAAUCAGAAGCAGGGUGCUGGGAGAGGGAUGAGGGCUGGCAGAGGAUUGGGGUGGGGGGUUCCAUUUUAAAUAGAAUGGUUGGGAAGGGCCUCACUGAGCAGGUGACAUUUGAGCAGAGAUCCGAGCAAGAUGAGGAAGAAGAAUGUUCUGGCAGAAGGACAAUGUUAAAUACAAAGGUUCUGAGGCUGGUGAGGACUUGCCUUGUUUUUCAAAUGUCUGUGUCUUGUGACCUCCACUGACCUAUACCCAUCUUCUCGAGAAACAGACCAGUGGGCUCCACAUCUCUGGUCCCACGGCAGUUCCUCAGCCACACUAGCCAUGUUCCAGAGCUCAGUAGCCACUCGUGGCCAGUGCCUGCCACAUGGGACAGCUUGGAUUUAUCCAUUCCCAUCAUGGUGGAACGUUCUGUUGUCCAGCCCAGGGCUGGUAGAGAUGGUCCAGAUGACAGUCUGUAACUUUAAUUUUAGCCUUUAUUCUCAUGUCUGAAAGCAGCACAUGGUGGUUGUGAAAUAAUCGAAUCAGUAAUGAGGUGAAUGAAGCCAGGGGGAGCCUGCAGAAAGAGCCUGCGGGACCCCUUGGGGAGAGGGAGGAAACAGGCCGGGUGGCCUGCUAGUAAGGCGGGCGGGGUGCGGAGGGCCGAGCCGCUUCCUCCUCUGGACGGGGGCUUUGCAGGUGUCGUGGCGCUCCCGCGCUGCCCCAUCUGACGCUGCCCGAUCUGACGCUGCCCGCAGCUCCGGGCACACUCACUGAGACACUGAAGAGUGGAGAGGGAGGAGCUGCCCCUCUGACAUGUGUUCUGGAGGUGUCUGUUGUGCCUCCAGCGGGCUCAGAGGGGAUUCAGAGAGUGCAGUUGUAGAGCCAAAGAUGCCAGUGCCCGUUCUGCCCUUCUAGCUGGGUGGCGGGUGAGUUGCUUUAUUUUCCUGAACCUUAGUUUCCUUAUCUCUGAAGUGACAAUUAACGAGGCAACACGUGUAAUAAAGUGCUUGGCACAGUGGUUGGCGCUGCGCUCUCUCUAGAACUUAUCAGGGAUCUUUUUUCUGCUUCUUGCUUGAAUGAAUGAAUGAAUGAAUGCUAGUAAGUGCCAACUUGCCCAGGAGAUGAGCAGCAGAAAAGGGAAAACAGAGAAACAAAGGACUCCAUCCGUCCUGAAGGGUGGACGCCAGUGGAUUUCUUUGGCCUUUUGACUUGACUGAAAGCAGGCCGCCAGUUAGUUUUUCCACGGUCUAGCCAGCGCUGCUAAGUGUGGGUCUUAAGGGAGCAGGAAGGUAUUCUGGGAAAUCCCAGCUGGGUUUGAUGAUCUGUUGCCUUCCCAUUUGUGGGUUGGGAAACUUGUCUGUAUCUGAGGAAAGAAACCUUUAAAUUCAGCCACUUAUUGUUGGGUGCUGACGUUGAAAUUGGUGUUUGCCUCAUGUGGGGAGGACAGGGACUUUUCACUGCGGAGUGAUGGAAUUAGUAACAUUCAGGAGGGGCCUGGAGUGAGCCAAGAAAGAGCAUCUUCAGCCUGCACAUCUGUUUAUUUGUCCCACUUAGUAGCCAGAUGGUGUUCCUGAUAAACCGCACGGGCUGCACUGAUUUCUCUGCGGUGGGUCUGCCCUGACUUCUGGAAGGUGAAAAUCCUUAGAAAUUUCACAGCCACAAGCAAGGUGGUUUUGGGAAGUGGGGAAGAGGAGACUGUGUUUGUUCUUUGCAGGAUUCAUUUGGCUUCCUGAGUUUAUGAAGCACGUUCUGUACAGGCACCAUCUGGAGAUCACACACUGCAUCUUUAUGGAAGUUGAAGCUGUGGUCGGCCUGGGAGGGGUGAUUCAGUACGAAAUGCAGGACAUCUUGUGGGAGCGUAAGAGUUUGUGGGGUUCUGAGAAACCCACAGGCAAACCCAUUCCCGCAAAGCAGUUCUUCAGCCACCAGCUACUUUCUGCUUAUAAAUUAACUUCCCUUUCCCCAGGUGGAUAUAAGAUCUGUUCUACUUAAAAAAUGUUGGUGGAAUGAUUCAACAAUUAAAACUAUCUUAUUCUGUUUUCUACCUUGAAUAGUAUCUAUUCUGAAAGUAUUUGUUUGUAGGACACCGAAUAUUUGAUACAGCUAACAUUAAAUUCUUUUAUGCCUUUUGUGUUUUCCGUAGGCACAUCUUACUAGAUUGCCACAUCAAAUCAGCUAGUUCCUGUUUAUGUUGAGUGAGUUGGGUUUGUAACUGAGAGUUGUUUCAAUUCCAGUUCUGCUGAUUCUUUGUUGUGAGUAGUUGUGGUUUGUCUCGGGAUUCCUGUAAGGCCCUGUAUAUGGAACAAUGAUGAGUCAUCCAGAUUUGCCCAAUUGCCACUUUGGGCCCCACAACAGUCUAGUUUUCCUGUUAAUUCCCCUUUGCUUCCAGCCCGAGGCAAAUCCAGGCUCUGUACAGGGUUACAGGGAGUGGUAGCUGUCUGCAUCGAUUUGAAAAUUAGAGUUUGGAAUUAAGUCCCAGUUUCCUUUAGGUUUCAGAUUUGUGUGUUCAACACAUUUCAUACCAGGAAAGGGGUGUACAGAGGAAAGGGUUAAGAUGGACUCUGCCUCCCAGUUCAUGUCCUGCAGAGGUGUCGACCAAAAAUAAUGCGCAGUCUAAAAGUUGAGAAUUACGUUUUAUUUGGUGGCCUUACUGAGGACUGUAGCUCGGAAAGGCAGCCUCUCAGAUAGCUCUGAGGGGCUGUUCCGAAGAGGUUAGGGAGGAGCCAGGAUACAUAGGAGUUUUCUGCUGGGGGAAAACACACACACACACACACACACACACACACACACACACACACACACAACCAUGUAGCACAAAAGAUUACUGCUAAUCACAAAAAACAGACAUCUUACUCAGGUUAAUGAUUUUAGUGCGUUUCUAUGUAUAGGAAGAUGCAGGAGUCUGGGCUGAUUGAAAUUAUUCCUUUGAUACUUAUCUUGACUACCUAGGGCCAGUCUCCUGUUUUUCUCUGUCCUGAGUCCUCUCAGGGUGCACUGUUGGGCUUGAUGGCUGCAGCAUUCCUUGUUUACUGAAAUGGCAGCCAACGUUUUUUUGUCCACAGGUGGAAGGGAGCCUGGUAUGAGGAGGAAGAAAAGGGUGAGAGGCCAGUUAGAUGAAAAAUUAUUUCCUGGCUCAACCCUUGGCCUGGCACCUGUUCAGUUACUCUAAGACAUUACCCUGAAAUGAACAUGCUUCAUUCCUUUUAGAAGUUCCUUUGACAGCAGUUGUUUUUAAAGCAGGAGAAAUUGAGUGAUGGUCAAAGUUUGUGGGGAGAACACAUGAAUAUGUAACAAACUUGAAAUACAUAUAAUGGCUUAGACACAGUGGAAGUUUUUUCCCAAACCCUCCCAAGUUCGUUCUUUCUUGUGACUCUGGCGAUUUCAUCGUGAGGACUCUGGGCCCCUCUGCAUCAAGCCAGAGAGGGGAAAAAGCCUGCAGAGGCUGGACAUCGGAGGUGUUCUGGGCUAGGCACUCUUGAAACCGUACCCAUCACUCCACUUGCAGUUUAUCUGCUGGAACUCCAUCCUGUGACCACACCUACCUGUAAGGGAUGUUGGGAAAUGGGACCAGUGCCCAGGAUAAUGAGGAACCGGGCUUGGUGAAGAGCUAGGAGCCUCAGGCAGCCUUUUUUGGGGACCAUUUUUCUUGAUUCCCACUUCUCCUUUCUUCCUUCUUCAUGAGAACUAAGUGCCUGGAGUCGAUCAGUUGAAUAUUCUGUCAUUCUCUUGCUUAAAUGGUAGUUCUCACCACCUGCAACAUAAACUCCAAAACUGACAUAGGAAGCAUUCUGGAUCCAGCCCUAUCCACCUCUCGCCUCCAGCUCCCAUCCUGUGCCACAGCCACAAAUACUGAGCUCGUUAGUUAGAGUCUCUGAACCUACCGUGUCUUAUCUCUGCCCGUUCUGCUUCCUCUGCCUGACAAACUUCUGUUGUCCUUUAGGAUUCAGCUGAAGUGACACCCCUUCUGAGAAGCCUUCUUUGAUCACCCUAACCCCUUCCAGACCCCUCCUUUGAAUCUCAUGGUCCCUGAACUUCUUUUGAGGCAGCCCUGACACCCUCUGCAGCCUCCCUCAACAGUGAGCUUCCGGAAGACAGGAGCUACGUCUUACUCAUUCUGUUUUCCUAGCCGAAGCAGGCACUUGGUAGAUGCUCAAUAAAUAAUCUUAAGUGAAUGAGGGAUAGACUAUAAAUCUAAAUAAAGAGAUCUGGUACACUUUUAAAAUCUAAAUAUUUCCCUUUUCGGUUAUAUUAUUGUUCUAGAAUUUGGGAGAAGGCCCUUCCUAAAAGUUUGGUCUCCCACAGCAGGUCACCCAGUGGUGUGGGUUUCAGAUGACUCACGUGGCGUCCGCACCUGUGGUGUCUGCAAAACUGGCAUGUUUUUCUGAGAGGUUUUUUUUUUGAUGAUAAGUGUUUUUACAUAUGUUUUCAUAAAGCUGCUCAUUGUUUAAAAAUAUGUAGGAAAAUUUUGGCUUUUUAUGUUCAUCAUUCUAUGUUUGUCCUUUUCACUUUUAUACCUACUACUAGUUUUCUUUUCUUGCUGUAUUGCCUUACAGAUUUUCUAUGAAUUUUAAACAUAAGAAUGUGUGCUGUUUGGUAUCCUGCAAACUUUUUACUUAUGGAAAACUUUUUCCUACAUAAUUAAAAAUUAAUUAUUCAUACACUUAUUAAUGUCUUUGUGGCAUUCCAUCCAGUGAAUCAUUUACUUAUCCAACAAUAAGGAAAUGGUUUUUGUUCCCGCUUUGGGGUGAUAAAAUUACCUGUGUUCAUGUAGUGUGCAGUGUCUGCAUUUCAGGUGAUUUCCUGAGACAGAAUCCCAGAAGUGCUUCUUGCUUCCUAACUAUGGUCCUGACCCCUAGUCCACUUGGAUCUGCCCUCUCCUGAGGUGAUGACAGCGAGCCUCCAGGAGCCCCUGAGCUUGAUGCAAGUUUACUGGCAGUGAAAAAUCCAGCCUCUUGUUUUAUGAAUGAGGAAACUCUCAACAAGGGCUGCUGGACGGUUUGAAUUGCUCACAGCUCAGGUCUCAGGUUACAGUAAACUGAAGUGUGGAAAGAUUUGUCUUACCAGGUCCUGCUGUCUGCACAAUGCAGAUACCUUUGGUUUCCUCCUCUCCUUUUCCUGGACCCUUGCUCGUGGGACUGACUCUGAGCCCAGCAUUGCAAGUUCACACUUCCCUGCCUUUGCCUGAGAUGCCCUCUCCUCUGCCCUGUGUCCCCUUGGCCAAUUUCUGAACAUCUUUAAGGCCCGGCACAGCUGACGCCUCUUCUGUGCACCCUUCCUUUCAUCACCAAGGCAGAGGCAGCCUCCUACAGGCAUGCUGCUCUCUGUUCCUGCAGCCUCAGUUUGGUCUAGCUUUGUUCUUGCUCUUACUGUGAGUCCCUCAAGGGCAGGGCCUGGGUCUUAGUCAUCCUUGAUCCCUGAUGCCUGCUGUUCUUGAUUGGCCCUGGAACAUUAGCAGAAUAUGGCUUGGUUCUGUCCACUGGAACAGUGUGGACUCUUGUUCUGGAGCCACAUGUGAGAGACUGGUUUCUUUCAAUCCACACGGGCAGCUGCUUCGUGUCAUGCUCUGGGCUAGGCAUUUUCCAUAUGAGACCAGGGAUCUGCUGGGUUCCGAGGGCAUGGCCUGGAUUUGCUGCAGUGGAGGGAGAGGGCACACUCAGGUGGGCUCUAAAAGCUACCUGAGUUAGGAAUUGGCAUAUAGCCUGGAUCAGUGGAAACAGGAGAUUGGAAGACCCUAGGAAAGUUUACAGUGUCAGGCAGGUGUUCACAAUUUGCUUUUACUUUAGUGAGUAGAAUUGUUGGAAUGGUUUAAAGCAAAAUCUGAAAGUAAUUCACUGUUCAUGGAAACUGCUGGAAAGAUGUUACUCUUAAAUCCAUAUAAAUUAAAGCAUCAAUUAAAGAAAAGAGAUGGCAUGAGAAGGGAACAUUUAUUAGUUAAGGAGCAAAGUUCUCAGCUGUUGCAGCACAAUAGAAUUGUCCAGGAUAAUUAAAAAAAAAAAAAUCCAGGCCCCACCCUCAAAGAUCAGUUUUAAUUGGCUUAGGGUGAGAUCUGGGCUUUAGGAGUUUUUAAAAACCUCCCUAGGUGAUUCUAGUUGAGAACCAUCCGUGGGAAAUAUGGACUUAAGUCCAAAUCCAGCCCUUCAGUUUACUGCGUGACCUUAGGCAAGGUUACAUCUCUGAAUUUCCUCAUCUUGAGGAAAAUCAUAGAUAAGUCCCUAGAGCAUGGGGACCUGUGUCUCUGGUCUUCGGUAAUUGUAUUCCUUGAACUUGGCACAGUGCCUGGAACAUGGUCAGUGCUCAGUACGUAUUUGUUGAAUUAAAAAAAAAUAACAUUCAUGAAUAGGGUUAAGAUUAGAUGAGAUUCGAAGCUUGGCCGUAUAUAAUGAAUAAAUUUAGUGUUAGUAAUAAGCACCCUUAAGAGUCACAGAACAGGUACCUGAGUGGUGGUACCUCACUUCCUCUGAGAAAACUGAGCAGUUCAUUUCUUACCCAAAGUUAGGCAGCUUGUUAUGAAGCUGGGAUUUGAGCCCAGGCCUGCCUGAUUCUGAAUUCUGUGUAUGCUUUUUCCACCUUGGCUCAGAUCUUACUCCUUAAGUUCCCUGAAAUUGAAAGAACGUAGUCAUUUCACCCUGAUCCCCAGACCCCUCGUGGUUUGUGAUGCUUACAGACUGUUACUACCUAGUGCCUCUGCUUUCCCUCUUUUUUAGUAUUCAGUUGGAAAUGAAGAAUACAUGUGUUUUUUCCCUUAGUAGCGUUCUGUACUGCAUUGCAUAGGCAUUUUUUCCCUGCCUUCUUUCUCUCCUUGUGAAAACCUAGGCUGAUGUUAGAGAAUGCAUCCCUGUUUAAUUUUUCCUUCCUAUAUUUAACUGUUGGGAGUGUCUGAAGGAGAUUCCAAGGAGGUUGUGAUGCAGGGGAACACUGGGUUUUGUUUUGGACUCUGACUUAUCAGCGAGAGGCACACAGGCGGGAGUGUGUUUCAGGGUUAGUUAAUGAAUUACCUGUUAAUGCAGCAUAUCCAGCAGGUUUUAUGCCAGGCCUCAGGGUAGGAUCCCCACCCCCACUUUGUAGUGGGAGGUGAUGCGUGAAUAACCAAAAUACAGUCCCCAGCUGGCUGUCAGACAUCAGUCAGCGUGAACGUGCUCUGGGGGCACAGAGGAGGGACUAGGCAGGCUGGGGCCCCUCAGCCUAAAAGGCUCUGGAGGAGAGUGGUUUGAGCUGAUUUGGUGUUUGCUGAGGUGUCAUGUGGUAAUGGGGACAAGUGCCCACUGGCGAGUGUUACCAGUACCUUCCGGGUCAGUUCCUCGCUCCCCAAGGGCAACCACUGCCUGACUCUGUCGUCAUACCUGAGGUUUCCUUUUUUUUUUUUUUUUUUGGAACUUCAGAUAAAUGGAGUCAUACAGCACAUACUUUUGUGACCAGCUUUCUUUGCUCACCUUUGUCCGAGGUUCACCCGGGUGGUUACUGUGUGGCAGCAGGGUUCAUUUUCUUUCAUUCUGUAUAGUUUUUAGUUGUAUGGAUGUACCUCUCUGUGUUCUCCUAUGGAUGGAUGUUUGAUUUGUUCCGUUUUUGAUGACUGGGCAGAGUGCUACUCUUAAUGUUUCUGGUGCCAUAUACCUCAGGGUGAGAGUGCUGUCUGCUUGAGUGGAUGCUGCCGAGUGGUUUUACCAUGGGGUGGUACCAGCGCGUGCUCCCACUAGCAGCAUGCAGGGGGUCGGGGUGCUCCACAUCCUCUCCAAAACUCAGCGCUGUCAGUCUUCUGUUUUUCUUUUGUUUUUCUUUUUGCCAUUCUGGUAAUAGGGUAAGGGUAUGUGGUUUUAAUUUAAAUGUCUGAUGACUAAUGAUUUGAUGCACUUUUUCUUAUCUUACCAUUGAGAAUCAUCUGGUGUGACCUGCUUGCUGUCUGAGGUUGUCUUACUGAUUUGCAGGCAUACUUUAUAUGUUCAGGAUGAGAGUCCGUUGUGAGAUAUGUGUAUUGCAGUACCUUCUGCACUAUGGCUUUUGUUUUUAUUCUAAUAAUGUUUUUGAAUUUUGUUUUCUUAACAGAAUUUCUUAAUUGUAAUGAAUUCAGCUUUACAGAAUUUUUCUUUUUACAAUUAGUGCCUUUUGCAUCCUGUUAAGAAAUUCUUUUAUCUUCUAGAAGCUUUGUUUUGCUGUUACCAACUAGAUCCAUGAUCCAUCAGAAUUAAUUUUCUGUAUAGUGUGAGGUAGUGAGCGGAUAAUUUUUAUUUAUUGUAAAGGUCACCAUUCCCCCUGAACCUUUGAAAUAAACCUGGUGACCAUAUAUGUUCCAUCAUUUAUUUUUUCUUUCACUAAUAUUCAAGACCUAUAAUAGGUCUUGAUAGCUAACAGAGUAAGCCCUCUUGCUUUGUUCUUUAACAUUAUUUUGGUUAUUCUAGGUCCUUUUCAUUGCCAUAGAAAUUUACAAAUCAUUUUGGCAGUUACCACAAAGAAUCUACUGUGGUUUUGUGUGGGAUUACCGUGAAACCAUGGGUCAUUUUUUACUAUGUGUAGACUUUUGAUCUCUGAAUAUGGUACGCCCUUCCAUUUAUUUAGGUUUUCUUUAAUUUCUCCACAAUAUUUUAUAGUUUUUUAAUGUAAAGCUUUUGUGUUUCUUUCAUUAACUUUAUUCCAAGACAUUUGUUAUUUUUGAUGGUUUUAGAAAUGCCAUUUUAUGAAUGUUGAAAUGGAGUUAAUUUUUGUGUAUAGAGCUUGAAACCUGUGGUCUUGCUAAAUUCAGUUCUAAUAGUUUAUGGAUGCUUUGGAUUUUAUCUGUAGAAAAAUCACGUUGUCUGUGGAUGAGUUUUGUUUCUUUCCAAUUCUUACACUUUUUAUUUAGUUUUCUUGCUUUAUUGCAUGACUAGGAAUUCCCAUACAAUGCUGAAUUGAAGUGGUACUGGUCCCUGGGAAAGCUUUUACCAUUGCCCCUAUUAAGUGUGAUUUUUGCAGUAAGAUACCUUUUAUCAGAUACCUUACUUUAAAUUGAAUACCUUUUGUUAGAUUAAGGAAGAUCCCUUUUAUUCCUAGUUUUACAGUUUAAAAGCAUCAUGAAUAUGUUGUAUUUGUCAAAUGCUUUUUUUCCCCUGUAUCUGUUCAUGGUAAUAUGUGUUUUCUCCUUUAUUUUGUUUAUGUGGUGAAUAACAUAUUUUUCUAAUGUUAUGUAAGCUACCUUUGCAUUCCUAGAAUAAUCCCAACUUGUUCUUGAUAAAUCAUCCUUUGUGUCUGUCAUUGGAUUUGAUUUGGAUUUGAUUUGCUAAUAUUUAAAAAAUUUUUCUAUCUCUGUUCAUUAAAGAGUAUAGCCUGUAAUUUUCCUUUCUUAUAAUGUUCUUGUCAAGUUUUGGUACCAAGAUUAUGCUGACCUUAUCAAAUGGGUUGAGGAAUGUUCCGCCUUCUGUUUUCUCAGAGUUUCUAUAAGACUUUUCUGUGGUAGUUAAAUGAACUGACCAAUGUAUUAAAACUCAGAACUGUACACCAAAAAGUCAGUUUUCUUGUAUAUGAAUUAAAAAAAAUAAAAGCUUUUGCAGGAA
Molecule: long non-coding RNA, 15376 nt
Organism: Camelus dromedarius (Arabian camel)
Lineage: Eukaryota; Metazoa; Chordata; Mammalia; Artiodactyla; Camelidae
Exons: 2
Source: RefSeq, a predicted model, not a curated record